UUUCGCAAUGCCCGAAAGGGUGACGAAGCGACGCCGCGUGCGGGAAGAAGGCCUUCGGGUUGCAAACCGCUGUCGGGAGUUAAGAAAUGCAAGGGUGUUAACAGCGUCCUUGCUUGACUAAGGCCCCGGAGGAAGCCACGGCUAACUCUGUGCCAGCAGCCGCGGUAAUACAGAGGCGGCAAGCGUUGUUCGGAAUUAUUGGGCGUAAAGAGCACGUAGGCGGCUGUGUAAGUCGGUUGUGAAAGCCUUCCGCUCAACGGAAGAAUGGCAUCCGAUACUGCAUAGCUCGAGUGCGGGAGGGGAGAGUGGAACUUCUGGUGGAGCGGUGAAAUGCGUAGAUAUCAGAAGGAACACCGGCGGCGAAGGCGGCUCUCUGGUCCGUAACUGACGCUGAGUGUGCGAAAGCUAGGGGAGCAAACGGGAUUAGAUACCCCGGUAGUCCUAGCCGUAAACGAUGGGCACUAAGUAGAGGGGUUUU
RNAcentral lists this ribosomal RNA (478 nucleotides) under uncultured bacterium. RNAcentral describes it as "bacterial SSU rRNA". It matches the Rfam family "Bacterial small subunit ribosomal RNA", at positions 364 to 832 of the family's 1533-position model. The record is from RNAcentral.